Long non-coding RNA from Branchiostoma floridae (Florida lancelet), 1104 nucleotides. RefSeq lists it as uncharacterized. The transcript has 3 exons. The record is from RefSeq and is a predicted model, not a curated record. NCBI's taxonomy places the organism in Eukaryota, Metazoa, Chordata, Leptocardii, Amphioxiformes, Branchiostomatidae.
AUAUCAUUCAUAUAACCACCUUAACAUUGCUAAAGGCAAGGAACACAUCGCAAACAAAAUGCGGUUACGCGCCAUUCUGAGACUAAGAUUGCAACAACGCAUCUCGAACCUUAUCCAUUCCCUGUAUUGUCUACUGUGGUUCGCUGAGCACCGUGCGGUGGUUGGGCAUUGUAAACAACUGCCUUGUUCCUGUUUUCUUUUAUUCAUCACAUGCCUAAGAUACGACAAUGACGUGGAAACGGCCUGCAAACACAACAGUGAACAUUACCUGUUCAGAACAUCCACGCCCAACUGUAGUCUCGAUACAAACAAUGUGGUAUGAAAUGAGAAGUGAAACUAUCGAAUUCGUCAUGCUGUGUUGUGUUACCGAAACAGGUUCUGUUUUUCUCGUUGGUGAUAUUUUUUCCUGCAAUUGCAAAUGGAUAUUGGUAUAUCUUUAAAACAAAACAGAAUGCUUCAUGAAAGCUUCACAUUUUCCGAUCAGAAACACCCAGAGCAUCGCAUGCAACAGACUAAGUCAUUUGCUGAACAAGCACAUUGACAGAGACAUAUUUGCCCUGCGAUAUUGGAAGCUCGCUUGUGUAGCAAAGCAAAUAUUAGCCACUGCAAAAGGUUCCCCAGCGGAAAUUUAACUUCUCCUUUUUCAAUAAAUGUCUGUGUCGACAUAAAAGCAGUGCAAACAAUGGAGGAGUAUCAAUCCAAAAGGAGACAAGGAAAUCGCCGCUUUGGGCCAUUAGGAAGGUAAAUAGAGCCUUUCUAGUGGAGCGCCGCUUGCAGACGGCAGGUGGUACAAGCCGGGCGGGUUCACAUGACGCACGGUCUCACCUGUUACCGCGCCGGGCAGCGCACCUACACACCGACAACUCUGCCUCUUCUGCCAGACAUGGCGCCAUCCAGUAACGUUUAGUGAGGAUUGAGGAAGAUAGAAGAGACAUGAACAACUGAGCUGCGACCUGAGGUGUGCGGGUCAACUUGUUCUGCUGAAAGUAAGCAUCUGUUGUUGAACCGACGAUAGGCAGGGUCCGGAGAAACUCACCCAAAACGACUCCUGUUCCAACUGUGGUCACCAAGAAACACUCCCCGCAGACAGCGCGACCCGUCGUA